RNAcentral lists this long non-coding RNA (759 nucleotides) under Marmota monax (woodchuck). The record is from RNAcentral. Lineage: Eukaryota; Metazoa; Chordata; Mammalia; Rodentia; Sciuridae.
AGAGAAGGACCCCAUGUGAUCAUACAAGCCAGAAAUAAUCAUAUUUCUUGUAUUAUUACAUUUUAUAUAAAAACGUCCCUUCCUUACUCUUAAAAAUGAAGUUAUAUUGAACUCUUAAAAAUCCUAAUUUCAUGGAUAUUUUAUAACCAUCUUUCCAUUUGUAUCCAUUCAGGUUCUUAUUUGCAAACAACAGAAGUUGACUCUGGUUGAAAUUAGCAGAUAAGAAAUUUAUUCAAAGGAUGUGGAGAGAAGGAGAAUCAAGGUUCAAGCUUCUCAGCCCAAAAUAGCACCCGAAAAUGAUACCCCAGAAUUGGAAACUAUGAAUAUAGCUAUUGCCACUCCUGUAACCCAUCACCAGAAUGGAUUUUUUUGCAUCACUAACUUUCAAUUCCAUACAUGAGUGACAAGGCCUCUAUUAUGUGCACACACCUCUGCUGCAAGCAACUAUCUGACAUUUUCAGCUUUUAUACUUGAAACUAAGUUGGGCCACAUAAGAUAAAGCACUUCACAAAUGCAGUUCCUCAGAUAUGCUGCAUGACCUAAAAGACAAAUUUAUACCACAGCUCACUACUUAAACACACACACACACACACACAGAGAGAGAGAGAGAGAGAGAGAGAGAGAGAGAGAGAGAGAGCAAUUAAAAUAUAAUAUAUAAUUCAGUUAACCCUCUUACAAUUGAAAAUAUGCUCACUACUUCCCCAGAAUCAACCCAAAUUGUCAUUAGUUACAAUAGCCAUCAUGGUCCAUAAUUCAAAA